Molecule: ribosomal RNA, 459 nt
Filed under: uncultured bacterium
Lineage: Bacteria
Description: partial 16S ribosomal RNA
Rfam family: Bacterial small subunit ribosomal RNA
Source: RNAcentral
CCUACGGGAGGCAGCAGUGAGGAAUAUUGGUCAAUGGGCGAGAGCCUGAACCAGCCAAGUCGCGUGAGGGAAGACGGUCCUAUGGAUUGUAAACCUCUUUUGCCGGGGAGCAAAAAGCGGUACGUGUACCGCAUCGAGAGUACCCGGAGAAAAAGCAUCGGCUAACUCCGUGCCAGUAGCCGCGGUAAUACGGAGGAUGCGAGCGUUAUCCGGAUUUAUUGGGUUUAAAGGGUGCGCAGGCGGCGAGUUAAGUCAGCGGUAAAAUUUCGGGGCUCAACCCCGACAAGCCGUUGAAACUGGCUUGCUUGAGUGGGCGAGAAGUAUGCGGAAUGCGUGGUGUAGCGGUGAAAUGCAUAGAUAUCACGCAGAACUCCGAUUGCGAAGGCAGCAUACCGGCGCCCAACUGACGCUCAGGCACGAAAGCGUGGGUAUCGAACAGGAUUAGAUACCCGGGUAGUC